UCUACAUACGGAGCGGGUCCUCUUCACGGAGCCCGCCGCCAUGUUUCUACAGUAGCCCAGAAUGGACAAACCAAACACUGGCUCUAGGUAGGGCCAUUCACGUUCUCAUGUUUUUGCGUUGGCCACCGUUGUUCGCUUACAUGCUUGGCACACGGGAGAGGUUUCAGUUGGUUGGUUGCAAUCUGCAACCUCACAGCUAAAUGCCGCCAAAUCUUACACACUGCACCUUUAAUCUUUUAUGCACUUUAACUU
Molecule: long non-coding RNA, 252 nt
Organism: Sebastes umbrosus (honeycomb rockfish)
Lineage: Eukaryota; Metazoa; Chordata; Actinopteri; Perciformes; Sebastidae
Exons: 3
Source: RefSeq, a predicted model, not a curated record